CGAAAGCCUGACGGAGCAAGACCGCGUGAGGGAGGAAGGCUCUUGGGUUGUAAACCUCUUUUCUCAGGGAAGAAGCUCUGACGGUACUUGAGGAAUCAGCAUCGGCUAACUCCGUGCCAGCAGCCGCGGUAAUACGGGGGAUGCAAGCGUUAUCCGGAAUUAUUGGGCGUAAAGCGUCCGCAGGUGGCAAUGUAAGUCUGCUGUCAAAACCCAGGGCUCAACUCUGGUCAGGCAGUGGAAACUACAUAGCUAGAGUUCGGUAGGGGCAAAGGGAAUUCCCGGUGUAGCGGUGAAAUGCGUAGAGAUCGGGAAGAACAUCGGUGGCGAAAGCGCUUUGCUAGACCGAAACUGACACUCAGGGACGAAAGCUAGGGGAGCG
Molecule: ribosomal RNA, 379 nt
Filed under: uncultured cyanobacterium
Lineage: Bacteria; Bacillati; Cyanobacteriota
Description: bacterial SSU rRNA
Rfam family: Bacterial small subunit ribosomal RNA
Source: RNAcentral